Molecule: ribosomal RNA, 450 nt
Filed under: uncultured Glomus
Lineage: Eukaryota; Fungi; Glomeromycota; Glomeromycetes; Glomerales; Glomeraceae
Description: SSU rRNA
Rfam family: Eukaryotic small subunit ribosomal RNA
Source: RNAcentral
AGCAGCCGCGGUAAUUCCAGCUCCAAUAGCGUAUAUUAAAGUUGUUGCAGUUAAAAAGCUCGUAGUUGAAUUUCGAGACCGGUCUACUGGUCGUGCUUUUGUACGUACUGGUUUUAUUGGUUUCUCCUUUCUGACGAACUAUAAUGCCAUUAAUUUGGUGUUAUGGGGAAUCAGGACUGUUACUUUGAAAAAAUUAGAGUGUUUAAAGCAGGCUCACGCUUGAAUACAUUAGCAUGGAAUAACGGAAUAGGACGUUUGAUUCUAUUUUGUUGGUUCCUAGGAUCGACGUAAUGAUUAAUAGGGAUAGUUGGGGGCAUUAGUAUUCAAUUGUCAGAGGUGAAAUUCUUGGAUUUAUUGAAGACUAACUACUGCGAAAGCAUUUGCCAAGGAUGUUUUCAUUAAUCAAGAACGAAAGUUAGGGGAUCGAAGACGAUCAGAUACCGUCGUAGU